CAGAGAAUACAGGAAUAAAAGAGCAAAGAGGAAGGAAAAUGGAGAAGAGAUGCACUAAUAGCUGGGGGAAAUCAAGAAAGGAUCAUACAGAUGGGCUUGAAACUAGCUUCAAAGGAAACUAAAGAUUCCAAAGGACAAAGGUAAAAAGGUAAAGAUUCCAAGAGACAGAGAUAAAGAAAAAGGAGUGCAUUCCAGGAGAAAGCAGAAUAGGAAAUGGAGGAAGAAAAGUCUUCACAAGAAAAAUAAAGU
Long non-coding RNA from Sarcophilus harrisii (Tasmanian devil), 249 nucleotides. RefSeq lists it as uncharacterized. The transcript is spliced from 2 exons. NCBI's taxonomy places the organism in Eukaryota, Metazoa, Chordata, Mammalia, Dasyuromorphia, Dasyuridae. The record is from RefSeq and is a predicted model, not a curated record.